This 460-nucleotide ribosomal RNA is filed under the name uncultured bacterium. Its description in RNAcentral is "partial 16S ribosomal RNA". It matches the Rfam family "Bacterial small subunit ribosomal RNA", at positions 338 to 795 of the family's 1533-position model. The record is from RNAcentral.
CCUACGGGAGGCAGCAGUGAGGAAUCUUGGUCAAUGUGCGCGAGCCUGAACCAGCCAAGUAGCGUGAAGGAUGACUGCCCUACGGGUUGUAAACUUCUUUUAUAAAGGAAUAAAGUGAGGCACGUGUGCCUUUUUGUAUGUACUUUAUGAAUAAGGAUCGGCUAACUCCGUGCCAGCAGCCGCGGUAAUACGGAGGAUCCGAGCGUUAUCCGGAUUUAUUGGGUUUAAAGGGCGCGUAGAUGGGUUGUUAAGUCAGUUGUGAAAGUUUGCGGCUCAACCGUAAAAUUGCAAUUGAUACUGGCAGCCUAGAGUACAGUUGAGGUAGGCGGAAUUCGUGGUGUAGCGGUGAAAUGCUUAGAUAUCACGAAGAACUCCGAUUGCGAAGGCAGCUUACUAAACUGCCACUGACAUUGAUGCUCGAAAGUGUGGGGAUCAAACAGGAUUAGAUACCCGAGUAGUC